GAUUGCCGAUUUUGUGAGUGUGACUGCAGAUACCAGCGCUCGUCUCUGCUAAACCCCUUUACACCUCCCGAGGAGCCUUUCUUCUCCUAGGACCGGCGUCAUUGGAUCCCGCCAGGCCCAGCUUUGCGCUCCUAAUCCCUCUUGUUUACAGAAAAGGAUCCUCCCCAAAAUACUGGAAGUGUUGCUUCUGUUUGGGCACCCCUCUCACCCUUUCUCCUGGUACUGCCUCAACUGCAUGUCACCACUCAGACCUGAAGCUUCAUCUUGGACAUCUCUGGAGCCAUACCCUGAAUUUGAGGCCGGGAACCUGGCCGGUCCCUAGACCCCUCAGCUCAGCACGUCAGAACGAGAGCAGCAUCCCUGCACAUCCUGGGUGCCCUCCUGCGGGUCGAGCAUGUUUGCCUGCUGUGAGUGAAGAGCGUGGGGAGAGAGGGAGCUUGAAGAUGCAGGAGCGCCUGGAAUACGAGAGGGAGAAGAGCCCCAGGCACAAGCCUUCUGGCUCGGAGGAUGUCAGGCUGCCUUGUUUUGUUCUAAUGCUGACGUUCAGAAGAACAAGAUCUAUUGUCGGAACAAUGCCUUAUUUCUCAGGUUUACACAUAGGAAUGUAUGUUUCACAGUGUAGCUGCAACCCCGAUGGAAGAUAUUUUAACUCAGCCCGUUAUUCAUCGAUUUGAUUGGUUGAUUGAUUGAUUGAUAUACUUAGCUCUUUCCACAAAUGAUUUUAGGCGCUUUUCACAACAUGGAUGUGUGAACCAGGAAAAAAUAAUACGUUAGGACCGGGGGCACCACGCUUGGGAGAGGAGCUCAAGAAGGCAGAAGUGUGGGAGCUGAAGAGGCAGAGUGUAGGAAGACAGACAACCGACACGGGACCCGUGCUAUUCCCCACACCAAAGCUGACACACAAAUUUGGCUCUCAAGGUCCUGAUGGCCAGAGCAAAAACAGAAACAUGAAUCUGUUACCAGAUUUCAGUGUUCACAAAGAAAGAAAACACAUGAGUCCCUCUCUCAGGGAAGCAAAUUUCUCCUGGUGUGUGUGUGAGUGCAUGCAUGUAUGUGCAUAUGUGUGUGAUGUGUGUAUGUGCAUGCACGUACGGGUCUGUGCAUGUGUGACGUGUGCAUGCAUGGGUGUGCAAGUGCAUGUGUGCCAGAGUGUGCACGCACGGGUCUGUGCAUGUGUGACGUGUGCAUGCAUGGGUGUGCAAGUGCAUGUGUGCCAGAGUGUGCACGCACGGGUCUGUGCAUGUGUGACGUGUGCAUGCAUGGGUGUGCACGUGCAUGUGAGAUGUGUGUGUGUGUGUGUGUGUGUGUGUGAUGUGGGCAUGCAUAGGUAUGUGCGUGUGUGUGACACCAUCUUUCCCAUGGGCUUUGUGAGUGAUGUGGCGCACAAUGUCCUCAGUCACUCAAGGCUCUUUCUUGGGUCAUCACUACAUGCAUUUGCAGAGUUUAGUUGCAAAGUGCCACUCUGACAGAGCAGGCAGCCAGGGAAUACAGACUGUACUUCAUGAGGAAAAUUCUAGAACCCGUGGAGGACUGCAUGGACUCCAUGUCUCUCAGACAUUUCUCAGUGGAAGCUUGGGUAAGAGUUGCUCUGGGGAUGGAUGGUUGCCUUUGAAAGUGCACUGAACUCCUUUGUGUUAUUGGGCUGAGGUCAGACCCAAUUACCUCAGAGAGCUUCUUAGAUGGUCACAUUGCACAUAAGUUUUUGGAACUGAGGACCCAAACCUAAAUUCCCCCCUACAAGUAAACUGAGGGGGAUUAGGAACACAUUAGGAACCAGUGGGUUUCCCAAAGUUUAUCCCAUACAGAACAUUGGAGAAAUUACUUUAGCUUGAAAAUUUUUGAGGUAGACUCGUCAUCAUGACCAAGGGAAAAAAAAUCUCAGUAAUAUUCUCAUAGAACAUCAGUUUUGAUUCCACAUGAUUUCUCAAUGGAACCAGCAAGAAGAAAUUAUUACAAAUUGUAGCCUUAAAGAGCUCCAUGUGAUGACAUUUUUUAUAGAACAUCUGCUGGAAUGAGGAUUUUAGUUUGAGACAAGUUGAUAUCACACUAUAAUCUCUGGCAAUAAUUAACUAGCAGGACUGGUUUCAUGACUGAGAUAACUCCCUGCUCUUGCCCUGAGUUUCCUGGGCAGGGGGGUGGGCAACCAGCCCUGCUAAAAAACCGUUCCAAUGGUAAAGGGGGGUGGGCACAACAGUCUUGUUUUAUGCCAUUGGAAUUACAGUUUGAUUUGCAGAGAGACUCGAUGUAAACAGUGGUGUUUAGAUGCAGCUCCCACAUGAACAUGAACCCUGAAAUUCACACUGCUUACCCUGCAGCCUGGCUGGGGCCUCAGUCAGAGCCUGGGGCAGGUCGAUGGGAGUGAUAAGCAUUGUUUCGUUGAUUAAGAAUUCUUCGGGGGCGCCUGGGCGGCUCGGUCAGUUAAACGUCUGUCUUCAGCUCUGGUCAUGAUCUCAGGGUCCCGGGAUCGAACCCCGCAUCGGGCUCCCUGCUCAAUGGGGAGUCUGCUUUUCCUUCGCCCUCUGCCCCACCCCCUGCUCAUGCUCUCUCUCUCUCUCUCAAAUAAAUAAAUAAAUAAAUAAAA
This is a long non-coding RNA of Mirounga angustirostris (Northern elephant seal), 2581 nucleotides long. RefSeq lists it as uncharacterized. NCBI's taxonomy places the organism in Eukaryota, Metazoa, Chordata, Mammalia, Carnivora, Phocidae. The transcript has 3 exons. The record is from RefSeq and is a predicted model, not a curated record.